RNAcentral lists this transfer RNA (87 nucleotides) under Gammaproteobacteria bacterium. RNAcentral describes it as "tRNA-Leu". It matches the Rfam family "tRNA". Rfam says of the family: Transfer RNA (tRNA) molecules are approximately 80 nucleotides in length. Their secondary structure includes four short double-helical elements and three loops (D, anti-codon, and T loops). The record is from RNAcentral. Lineage: Bacteria; Pseudomonadati; Pseudomonadota; Gammaproteobacteria.
GCCGAAGUGGUGAAAUUGGUAGACACGCUACCUUGAGGGGGUAGUGGGCGUAAGCUCGUGGAGGUUCGAGUCCUCUCUUCGGCACCA